CCUUAAUUGUUUGAUUCUGUUUCAUUCUCUUCUGCCUUUGUAACACCAACUUCAGCUGGCCGGAUAACACGAUCAUAGAGAGAGUAUCCUGCCUUUAGAACUGCUGCAACAGUGCUUGGAGGCUUAGAAGCGUCUGGUACCUGGAAAACUGCAUUAUGCCUAUGUGGAUCAAAUGGCUCAUUUAUUGGAUCAAAUUUUUCUACUCCAAAUUUCCUAAACACCUCUGCAAGCUGCUUCUCAGUCAUUUCAACUCCUUCCAAAAGGGUCUUAAGAAGUGGAACUGCCCCAGCAGUGUCAGUAGAUGGAUCAAUUUUUGAGUAACUGUCUUUGACGACGGAUGAAGCUCUUCCCAAAUUGUCAGCAACAUCUAGUAGACCCUUUGCAAAAUUCUGUAUGGCAAACUUUUUAGAGUUCUCUGCUUCACGUUUUGUCCUUUCCAUGACAUUCUCCAUUUCUGCAUAAGUGCGAAGAACUUUAUCUUGCAUUUUUUCAAUCUCUUUGUGCUUCAACUUCAGAAGUUCUUCCUUUUCCGCCACAAGCUUCACCAAAUCAUCCAUUGACAGAUCGUCUUCAGCAUCUGAAUCUGAAUCAGAAAAUGCAGUUCGUUUAGCACCUCUUCUCCUU
RNAcentral lists this unclassified non-coding RNA (624 nucleotides) under Hevea brasiliensis (rubber tree). Lineage: Eukaryota; Viridiplantae; Streptophyta; Magnoliopsida; Malpighiales; Euphorbiaceae. The record is from RNAcentral.